RNAcentral lists this long non-coding RNA (1002 nucleotides) under Rattus norvegicus (Norway rat). RNAcentral's name for it is "long non-coding RNA NONRATT021881". Lineage: Eukaryota; Metazoa; Chordata; Mammalia; Rodentia; Muridae. The record is from RNAcentral.
UUGUCCAGAGGCCUGCAGAAACUUUUACGAUCACGAAGGAUGUUAUUGCCAAGAUAAUGAGGUGGCCCUUUAUCCAAGGGGUAUAAUGGCCAUAGAACAAGGAAAGACUGGGCCCUUUGGACAUAUGGCUGGAACAGCACCUAUUUAGAUAUAUUAUGUAGCAGACAUCCCAAGGGUAGCUGAGGAUCAGGUUUACACUCAGUGUUAGUCAUCUCUAAGUCUAGAAGGAGCCCCAAGGCCUAUGAUGCAGUGUCCCAAGUCAUAACCUGGGGUCUAACAGUAGAGAGUAGUUUUACCUUGGAAAGCCAUCUCCAAAUCCAAAGGGUUCCGGGAACAAAGACCCGGUCUCUGUUCCAGAAUGGUAGGGCUUUCCCUGGUAUGGCCUCAGCUUGACAGGACCCAGGAAAGGCACCUGGUACUUCUUAGACUGUGGAUGGAAAAUGGUGACAUUUUCAACUCAAAGGUUGUGCUUACUACACUCCUUAAGGGGAGAGUAGUAAAUAAGUGGUCUCUGCACUACUAGGGUUAUCCGCUCUCCCCAGGGGUGGGGACCCAACUCCUCUAGGGUUUUUAUCAGUGAGAACCAAAUCUAAAGUGUGUGUAAACAACUGAGGUUAUAAUGUCUAAGAAUUUCAUGGGAUUAAAGUCACUGAAAGUUGUAAGAUAAAAUUAUCCAAAGGAAUAUUUUGAUUACAGAGAAAUUUAGUGAAAACUGAUGUCUUGUGGAAAUCAACCUAGAAGCAAAACAACUACACACACACACACACACACACACACACACACACACACACACACACACACAAAUGUGAAACGUAACUGCCUGCUGCUUUCAAGCCCUGUAAAACUAAAAGUUUCUCAAAAGAAGCAACAACUUCCACAUAUCACUCUGUAUGGCUGCCCAAUUAGCAUUUUAUUGACCAUAGAGGGUUUGAAAAGCUGUGGCCAUCUUUAGCCAUCCCCCCCCCAAAAAAAAAAGAAAAAGAAAGACAGAGACAGAGACAG